AUUGAACGCUGGCGGCAGGCCUAACACAUGCAAGUCGAACGGUAACAGGAAACAGCUUGCUGUUUCGCUGACGAGUGGCGGACGGGUGAGUAAUGUCUGGGCAACUGCCUGAUGGAGGGGGAUAACUACUGGAAACGGUAGCUAAUACCGCAUAACGUCGCAAGACCAAAGAGGGGGACCUUCGGGCCUCUUGCCAUCGGAUGUGCCCAGAUGGGAUUAGCUAGUAGGUGGGGUAACGGCUCACCUAGGCGACGAUCCCUAGCUGGUCUGAGAGGAUGACCAGCCACACUGGAACUGAGACACGGUCCAGACUCCUACGGGAGGCAGCAGUGGGGAAUAUUGCACAAUGGGCGCAAGCCUGAUGCAGCCAUGCCGCGUGUAUGAAGAAGGCCUUCGGGUUGUAAAGUACUUUCAGCGGGGAGGAAGGGAGUAAAGUUAAUACCUUUGCUCAUUGACGUUACCCGCAGAAGAAGCACCGGCUAACUCCGUG
This 490-nucleotide ribosomal RNA is filed under the name uncultured bacterium. RNAcentral describes it as "partial 16S ribosomal RNA". It matches the Rfam family "Bacterial small subunit ribosomal RNA", at positions 30 to 507 of the family's 1533-position model. The record is from RNAcentral.